Molecule: non-coding RNA, 148 nt
Filed under: Pan paniscus (pygmy chimpanzee)
Lineage: Eukaryota; Metazoa; Chordata; Mammalia; Primates; Hominidae
Also listed under: 1 other name
Source: Rfam by way of RNAcentral
GCUGGGUGUGGUAGUGUGCUCCUGUGGUCCUAGUUACUUUGGAGGCUGAGGUGGGAGGAUUGUUUGAGUCCAGGAGGUUGAGGCUGCAGUGAGCUAUUGUUGAGCUACUGCACUCCAGCCUGGGUAACAAAGUGAGAUCCUAUCUCUA